Molecule: ribosomal RNA, 446 nt
Filed under: uncultured bacterium
Lineage: Bacteria
Description: bacterial SSU rRNA
Rfam family: Bacterial small subunit ribosomal RNA
Source: RNAcentral
UCCAGACUCCUACGGGAGGCAGCAGUGGGGGAUAUUGCACAAUGGGGGAAACCCUGAUGCAGCGACGCCGCGUGAGUGAAGAAGUAUUUCGGUAUGUAAAGCUCUAUCAGCAGGGAAGAAAAAAGACGGUACCUGACUAAGAAGCCCCGGCUAACUACGUGCCAGCAGCCGCGGUAAUACGUAGGGGGCAAGCGUUAUCCGGAUUUACUGGGUGUAAAGGGAGCGUAGACGGCAAUACAAGUCGGAAGUGAAAUACCCGGGCUUAACCUGGGAACUGCUUUGGAAACUGUAUGGCUGGAGUGCUGGAGAGGUAAGCGGAAUUCCUAGUGUAGCGGUGAAAUGCGUAGAUAUUAGGAGGAACACCAGUGGCGAAGGCGGCUUACUGGACAGUAACUGACGUUGAGGCUCGAAAGCGUGGGGAGCAAACAGGAUUAGAUACCCGUGUA